AGGAGCAACAGCCCCAGUGGCGGGGCCAGCUCUGGAAACCUGGAUUCAGCUCCGGCAGGAACUCCGGAGCUCUCUGUCUGCAGGUUCUGGAGGCUCCGGGGCGUG
Molecule: microRNA precursor, 105 nt
Filed under: Canis lupus familiaris (dog)
Lineage: Eukaryota; Metazoa; Chordata; Mammalia; Carnivora; Canidae
Description: mir-8834 microRNA precursor family
Rfam family: mir-8834 microRNA precursor family
Source: Rfam by way of RNAcentral